CCUACGGGAGGCAGCAGUAGGGAAUAUUGCUCAAUGGGCGAAACCCUGAAGCAGCAACGCCGCGUGGAGGAUGAAGGUUUUCGGAUUGUAAACUCCUUUUGUUAGAGAAGUAAAGGACGGUAUGUAACGAAUAAGCACUGGCUAACACCGUGCCAGCAGCCGCGGUAAUACGGAGGGUGCAAGCGUUACGCGGAAUCACUGGGCGUAAAGGGCGCGUAGGCGGGCUAGCAAGUCAGGUGUGAAAUCCUAUGGCUUAACCAUAGAACUGCAGUUGAAACUGGUAUUCUUGAGUAUGUGAGAGGCAGGUGGAAGUCGUGGUGUAGGGGUGAAAUCCGUAGAGAUCAAGAGGAAUCCUCAUUGCGAAGGCGGCCUGCUAGAACAUAACUGACGCUGAUGCGCGAAAGCGUGGGGAGCAAACAGGAUUAGAUACCCUAGUAGUC
RNAcentral lists this ribosomal RNA (440 nucleotides) under uncultured bacterium. RNAcentral's name for it is "partial 16S ribosomal RNA". It matches the Rfam family "Bacterial small subunit ribosomal RNA", at positions 338 to 795 of the family's 1533-position model. The record is from RNAcentral.